Molecule: ribosomal RNA, 1541 nt
Filed under: metagenome
Description: bacterial SSU rRNA
Rfam family: Bacterial small subunit ribosomal RNA
Source: RNAcentral
AGAGUUUGAUUCUGGCUCAGAACGAACGCUGGCGGCGUGGAUUAGGCAUGCAAGUCGAACGUGAAGCUUUCACUUCAAUCCUUCGGGAGAGAAGUGGUUGUGGAAAGUGGCGGAAGGGUGAGGAACGCGUGGGUAACCUACCCUCGAGCUGGGGAUAACUUCUCGAAAGAGAGGCUAAUACCGAAUAUGACCCGGUUUUCGCAUGGAUACCGGUUCAAAGGUGGGGAUUCUUCGGAACCUGCCACUCGAGGAGGGGCCCGCGUCCUAUCAGCUUGUUGGUGAGGUAACGGCUCACCAAGGCUUACGGGUAGCUGGUCUGAGAGGAUGGUCAGCCACACUGGGACUGAGACACUGCCCAGACUCCUACGGGAGGCUGCAGUCGAGGAUCAUUCGCAAUGCGCGAAAGCGUGACGAUGCGACGCCGCGUGGAGGAUGAAGGCCCUUGGGUCGUAAACUCCUGUCAUUUGGGAGUAAUGGCCUUGGUAUUAAUACUACCGAGGUUUGAUAGUACCAAAAGAGGAAGCCACGGCUAACUCUGUGCCAGCAGCCGCGGUAACACAGAGGUGGCGAGCGUUGUUCGGAUUUACUGGGCGUAAAGGGUGCCUAGGCGGUGGCGUGUGUCGGAUGUGAAAUCUCAUCGCUCAACGGUGAAACUGCAUUCGAAACUGCGUCACUCGAGUACUGGAGAGGGAAGCGGAAUUCUUGGUGUAGCGGUGAAAUGCGUAGAUAUCAAGAAGAACACCGGUGGCGAAGGCGGCUUCCUGGACAGAUACUGACGCUGAGGCACGAAAGCUGGGGGAGCAAACAGGAUUAGAUACCCUGGUAGUCCCAGCCGUAAACGGUGUGCACUUGGUGUGGGAGGAUUUGACCCCUUCCGUGCUGGAGCUAACGCGUUAAGUGCACCGCCUGGGGAGUACGGCCGCAAGGCUAAAACUCAAAGAAAUUGACGGGGGCCCGCACAAGCGGAGGAGCAUGUGGCUUAAUUCGAUGCAACGCGAAGAACCUUACCAGGGCUUGACAUGCAGCUGCACGUCCGGUGAAAGUCGGAUUCCUUAGAGGGUGCUGCACAGGUGCUGCAUGGCUGUCGUCAGUUCGUGCCGUGAGGUGUUGGGUUAAGUCCCGCAACGAACGCAACCCCUGUGUCUAGUUGCUAUCAGAGGUGAUGAGCCUUUGAGCACUCUAGACAGACUGCCUGUGACAAGCAGGAGGAAGGUGGGGAUGACGUCAAGUCCGUAUGGCCUUUAUGCCCUGGGCUGCACACGUGCUACAAUGGCCGGUACAGAAGGACGCAAUACCGCGAGGUGGAGCAAAUCCCCAAAACCGGCCUCAGUUCGGAUUGGAGUCUGCGACUCGACUCCAUGAAGUUGGAUUCGCUAGUAACGGCGUAUCAGCUACGACGCCGUGAAUACGUUCCCGGGCCUUGUACACACCGCCCGUCACAUCAUGAAAGCCGUCUGCACCCGAAGUCGCUGAUCCAACCCUUCACUGGGAGGAAGGUGCCGAAGGUGUGGGUGGUGAUUGGGAUGAAGUCGUAACAAGGU